UAGCGCACUCGGCGCUUGCUUGGAAGUUCAGGGGUUUUUUUUCGCUGUAAAAAGAAGUUUUCUUCCCACGCACAACGGACGCUAAUGUUUUUGUCACUUUUUAUGGAAUCAAACUCAAAAUAAGGUUCUAUUUAGUCAUUUCUUGAUCCAACAGGUCUGGCAGAUAUCAGGCAUGGGUGUGGCAAGGGAAACUGAACUGUUUUCCAAAAAUAGCCAGCCUGGGGACCAGAUUGGACCUUUUGGCAGGCCAGAACUGCUGUGAAGUCACCAUACACUACCUGCAAACUGUUUCAUCGACGAACAGUGUCUUUCAGUUCUUGAUGUAAAAAAAGACCAAGUCAGAAAGAUGAGAAAGUGAAAAAACUAUUGCCUUGAUUUCAUUGUGAUAAUGUUUCUCAGCUUUUUUAGCACACAAGUUUCUGUUUGCUCCAUAAACCAACUCUUAUUCUAUUUCACUUUUUUUUAAAGGACUUUAAGAGAAGACAAACAAAGGGAAAUUGUGUUUGAACGUUUGUUAAAAAUAUUAAUCAUCAACUUCAAAAUAAUCUCAUAUGUGGAUGUCAGUGUUUGUUACAAGCAUUUAACUCUUAAACACAAUUGCCCCACUCAAGUAUUGAGAGUGGGGCAGUCAGGAAAUGUUUUACAAAAGAUAUAUGUAACGCUUAUCGACCAUUCUGCGGGGUCUUUGCUGUUACCAGCUGUAUCAACUAAAUAA
Long non-coding RNA from Oreochromis aureus, 715 nucleotides. The record is from Ensembl. Lineage: Eukaryota; Metazoa; Chordata; Actinopteri; Cichliformes; Cichlidae.